RNAcentral lists this unclassified non-coding RNA (241 nucleotides) under Hevea brasiliensis (rubber tree). Lineage: Eukaryota; Viridiplantae; Streptophyta; Magnoliopsida; Malpighiales; Euphorbiaceae. The record is from RNAcentral.
AAAAUGGAGACUAUGAUCACGAGGUAUUUACUUCAUUGAGAUUAUAUGUAUAUAUUGCUUUUAGUUAUUGAAAAAGCGUUUAGUUACUGUAUGGAUGAUGUAUGAUGUGCACAAUGAUAUGUGCUUUUACUUAUUGCCCUUCAAAUUUCAAUUUAUGAAAUCGAGCUUCCUUUAAAGUGACUCUGGCUAUUGAGUUCAAGGCUCUUUCUUACCUUCACAGGCUGCAGAACAAAAUGGAGAU